UACAGAGGGGGCAAGCGUUAUUCGGAAUUAUUGGGCGUAAAGGGCGCGUAGGCGGCGAUUCAAGUGACGGGUGAAAUCCCUCGGCUUAACCGAGGAACUGCCUGUCAGACUGGGUUGCUUGAGACCGGGAGAGGCGAGUGGAAUUCCCAGUGUAGCGGUGAAAUGCGUAGAUAUUGGGAGGAACACCAGUGGCGAAGGCGGCUCGCUGGACCGGAACUGACGCUGAGGCGCGAAAGCGUGGGGAGCAAUCAGG
RNAcentral lists this ribosomal RNA (253 nucleotides) under uncultured bacterium. RNAcentral describes it as "partial 16S ribosomal RNA". It matches the Rfam family "Bacterial small subunit ribosomal RNA", at positions 524 to 776 of the family's 1533-position model. The record is from RNAcentral.